UGCUCUUCAGAUCUGUUGGAUGUGUUGCUGCCGACCCGAACUGCCUGAGGUCUUCCAGUCAGAAAGUCCAACAGCCACAAAUGUUAAUCAAA
Sinocyclocheilus rhinocerous is the source of this 92-nucleotide long non-coding RNA. RefSeq lists it as uncharacterized. The transcript is spliced from 4 exons. NCBI's taxonomy places the organism in Eukaryota, Metazoa, Chordata, Actinopteri, Cypriniformes, Cyprinidae. The record is from RefSeq and is a predicted model, not a curated record.